GCCGCCGCCGCGCCGAGCCGAGCCGAGCGGGACGGGGCCGGACGGGACGGGACAGGACGGGGCGGGAGGAUCCGCCGCAGGGGUGCCUGCACCGUGUCCCCGGCUCCACCAGCCACAGCAGCGCCUGGUCCUGCUCCCGGUCCUGCUGCGCCGGGAGAAGGCUGACUUUUACGACCCGUGGUGGGACUAGCAU
RNAcentral lists this long non-coding RNA (193 nucleotides) under Chloebia gouldiae (Gouldian finch). RNAcentral's name for it is "Erythrura gouldiae (Gouldian finch) lncRNA (ENSEGOG00005005747.1)". The record is from RNAcentral. Lineage: Eukaryota; Metazoa; Chordata; Aves; Passeriformes; Passeridae.